UACGUAGGGUCCGAGCGUUGUCCGGAAUUAUUGGGCGUAAAGAGCUCGUAGGCGGCUUGUCGCGUCGGAUGUGAAAGCCCGGGGCUUAACCCCGGGUCUGCAUUCGAUACGGGCAGGCUGGAGUGUGGUAGGGGAGAUCGGAAUUCCUGGUGUAGCGGUGAAAUGCGCAGAUAUCAGGAGGAACACCGGUGGCGAAGGCGGAUCUCUGGGCCAUUACUGACGCUGAGGAGCGAAAGCGUGGGGAGCGAACAGG
Molecule: ribosomal RNA, 253 nt
Filed under: uncultured bacterium
Lineage: Bacteria
Description: partial 16S ribosomal RNA
Rfam family: Bacterial small subunit ribosomal RNA
Source: RNAcentral